UACGGAGGGUCCAAGCGUUAUCCGGAAUCAUUGGGUUUAAAGGGUGCGCAGGCGGUAAAGUAAGUCAGUGGUGAAACCUCUCGGCUCAACCGAGAGACUGCCAUUGAUACUGCUAUACUUGAAUAUAGUUGAAGUAGGCGGAAUGUGUAGUGUAGCGGUGAAAUGCUUAGACAUUACACAGAACACCGAUAGCGAAGGCAGCUUACUAAACUAAUAUUGACGCUCAUGCACGAAAGCGUGGGGAGCGAACAGGAUUAGAUACCCUGGUAGUCCACGCCGUAAACUAUGAUUACUCGUUCUCGGCGAUAUACGGUCGGGGACUAAGCGAAAGUGAUAAGUAAUCCACCUGGGGAGUACGAUCGCAAGAUUGAA
Molecule: ribosomal RNA, 372 nt
Filed under: uncultured bacterium
Lineage: Bacteria
Description: bacterial SSU rRNA
Rfam family: Bacterial small subunit ribosomal RNA
Source: RNAcentral